RNAcentral lists this unclassified non-coding RNA (328 nucleotides) under soil metagenome. RNAcentral describes it as "partial contains 5.8S ribosomal RNA, internal transcribed spacer 2, and large subunit ribosomal RNA". The stretch from base 1 to 119 matches the Rfam family "5.8S ribosomal RNA", at positions 36 to 154 of the family's 154-position model. The record is from RNAcentral.
AUGAAGAACGUAGCGAAAUGCGAUAAGUAAUGUGAAUUGCAGAAUUCAGUGAAUCAUCGAAUCUUUGAACGCACAUUGCGCCCCCUGGUAUUCCGGGGGGCAUGCCUGUCCGAGCGUCAUUACAACCCUCAAGCUCAGCUUGGUAUUGGGCCCCGCCGACCCGGCGGGCCCUAAAGUCAGUGGUGGUGCCGUCCGGCUCCGAGCGUAGUAAUUCUUCUCGCUCUGGAGGUCCGGUCGUGUGCUCGCCAGCAACCCCCAAUUUUUUUCAGGUUGACCUCGGAUCAGGUAGGGAUACCCGCUGAACUUAAGCAUAUCAAUAAGCGGAGGA